AAAACCAAGGGAGCCGCCCAUAGGCUCGACACAGCACGGGAAGAUUACAAGAAACACUUCCAAAUAUUACAAUAGAGAAACCAGUUCACAGUUCAACCCAUAUGGUUGGUGACAAAGUCCAAAAUUACUCAAAUACCUUCAAAUGAGUCAUUGGUUGUGUUAGCUGUAAAGCCCAAGAAUUAAAGAAAACCAUUGACACUCUUAAUAGAAGUUAUAGAAAGUACACAAGAUGAAUUCAUAAAUUCAAGAAAGAAAAGCCAAUAGAGAAAGUCCUACCAGGCGCUCUUGAUAGAAGCUAUAGAAACUAGAGAAGAUGAAUUCAUAAAUUCAAUAAUGAAAAGCCAAAGAGAAAGUCAUAUCAGGCUCAAUGCUAUGCAACACCUGACAAAAACAAUUCAAUCCUUACUGUUAGGUGAUCAAGUCCAGAGAAAUUAAUAAGAUGAAGCUGAAGAAAUAAUAUUAUCCUGAGCAGUUGCAAAUCAAUAAAAGUAGCAAUAAAAUGGUUGAUGUAACACAAGAGGAGAACAAGAAAAUCGGUAUCUCAUUUAUUCUCAAUCUGAACCACUGCAAAUAAAAUCAAGGAAAACACUUUAAAACAGAAAAGACAAAAAUAAACCCUCAGAAUAUGAAUAGCAAAGCCAAGACUCAUGAAAUUGUAGUCACAAGUAGACUAAAAAUAAAAAGACAAAACCAGGAAUUCCAAUGAUAAAUUAUGCUAGAACAAGUUCAAGAUACAAUUGUUCGAUGCAGAAAAACAAUACGAGACAAAAGAAAAAGUUUUGUAACCAAAGGAAUGAAGUCUUCUUGUUAAUACAACUACUAAAAUGAAAGAAAUGACUCCAAGAACCAAAUUUUCAAUACUGCUAAGAAAAUAUAAUUUUUAGAACUUCAAUGCAAAAAGAUAGAUAAUCAUGCAACACAAAUUAGGCAAGAACAUUGUUGCUUUGCAAGAAUCAAGUUCAAGAUCAAAAUUCAUUUGUCAAUAAAAGAAACUAAUAAAGACAAAAUAAAGUAUAUCGGACAAACACAUCGUCUAUUUCAAACUUCAAUAAUCAACAAGAAUAUAUUCAAAUUUAUAUUUUUUAAUCCUCAACCGGAAUCAUGCUGAAAACGAACUAACACAAACACAUAAAUGGUUGCAUAUGAUAGAUUUAACAUAAAAUAAAUAACUACAUCCAAACUCAAGUAGACAUCUGUCAUCAAAGAGAGACAAAAAAUGUAGGAUAACAAAACCUAACGCAUCAAGGAUCUCCAUCCAUUAUUUAGAUAUCCUACCUCACAUUCCUUUCAUUCGUACACACUCGAAGAUUUUAAUCCUCAACCAGUCUUACACGCAAAAAAGGUAUGAACACAAAGAAAUCAAUAAACCAUAAAAAAAAUUAAGAACAAUAUUUAAAUUCAAAUAGAUAUCAGUAAUAAAAACCAAGAAUUUAAGAAAGCAUAAGAUAAAUUAAUGAAUUCAAAACCGGUGGAGCCUUAGUUGCUCGUAACUAAGGCACGAUGAGAUACAGGUCAUCACACAAAACUAAACAAAACCCUGCUGCAAAGAAACAAAUCACAAUUCAAAUCUUAAUGUUCGGUGAUCAACUCCAGUUCAACACAUAGAAGAAAUUAAAAGAAGAUUCAACCCUUAGGCCUUAUAUAACAUUCUCCAAGAGAUGCUGCAGGACAUUAAGUGAAAAUAAUUCAAACAUCGAACACAAUUCAAUCCAUGGAAAUCAAGUAGAAAAAAUUCAAACAUCGAACAUCAUGUCUUACACUACACCACACAUCCAUUGCGUGCCUUCCCUGUACAGCCCAAAAGUUCAAGAAACGAAUUAGCUGUACAGCCAAAAAUUCAAGAAACGAAAUAAGCUCUUAAUAAAAAGAAGAAUAGAAAAAUGAUAAAGAUGAAGAUGCAGAUGCAGAUAAAGACUAAAAAACUCUUGGACAGUUACACAACUAAUCCAAACAAAACACCACUGCAGACAAACACCAAUAAACAAAUCAUAAUCCAAUCCUUAUUUUCAGUGAUGAAUACCAGAUAAAUUAAAUAAUAGAAAUGAGACUAAAAGAAGACUUGGAUCAAUUGGCCUUUCUGAACUACUAUGUUUUUCAUUUCAUCCAUAGACAAAAAAAAUCUCAAGACCCAAGCACCAGCAGAAAAGGGAUAAAGGAAUUUGAUCAAAAGAUUUAAAACUCUCCAUCAUCACAAAGAAUCACAUUCGGCGUAAAUGAAUCACAAUCCAAUAAAAGCACAUUGAUCACUUACUAAUAAUUCUUAAUAACUCUUCUAUUCCACGACGCAAACAUCAUGUAAUUCCACAAAACAUUAUAGAGAAUCACAACCCAAAGCAAUACCAACAAAACUGAUCUUGGAUAUUGACCAAACAUAAUAUUUCAAUUGGGGUUUUAGUUUCACGCUGUAGGAUUUGGUUUCAACUCUGGAGAUUUCCAAAAAGAUGGUAAGUUACAGAGAUUUAACAUUGAAAAAGUGAAAUAAGAGACGAAAGAGAGAAGAGUACCUUUGACGCUUGAAGUUCACAACUCAACCCAUAUGUUUGGGAUCAAGAAUAAUGAAUCGAAAGGUUUUGGAAAACUAUUAAAAGAACAAAAGACCUAUAUUAUAGAAUUAUGCAGAGAAGUCAACAAAAUUAAAUAGUAGAACUUUUCAAACCAAGAAGCAAACCAUCAAAUCAAAGAGUAAAGCCCAACCGCACUUGUAUCAUGCUCAUCCCACAAUGCCUCUUAGAACCAUACAUUAUCAAAAUACAACGAAGAUUAUAAUCAAACCAACAAGUUACAACCAAGAUUAUAAUCAAACCGACAAGUUGAGCCAGUUAAAAAAUAAUUCAGAUGAACACAACAAUGUCCUGGUGAAAGAAACAUUUAGUUUCACCAAUCACAGAAUUUCCACCCACCAUUUUUACAUCUUACACCACACUUCAUUGCUUAGCUUUCCUGUAAGGCCAAUGAAUUCAAGAAAACUAUAAUCAAUAAGGAUAGAUGAUGGAGGACCUAGACGUAUCGCUCUUGCUUAGAUACAUACAAUGAAAUACCUUCCAACUAUCCAGCCAAUAAGAGAAACUCUAGACAUUCCAAAUCCAGCACAUCAGAAAAAUAGUGAGUAGAAAAGUAAUAAAACCUGAAGCUUCACAAUAUGUGCAACAAACAUCCAUGAUAAGUGUUCAUUGCAACACAAGUAGAAAAAUAAAUCAGAUCAUCAAAGUCAAAGGCCCAAUUACAAGAACUCCCGCUCCACAAGAGUAGCAAAAAGAAUAACAACAAAGAAAAUAAUGAAUGCAAAGUUAAUAAAACCUAAACUUUAACUGUAUCUCCAUUCGCUGUUUCCAAAACCUGACCCCUACAUCCUUCAUGUAAAAACUCAAGAAGAUUCACGGCAAAGCUCAAAGUUCACUACAACACAAGUAUAAGAUAAUCAAAUCAUCAAAGUCAAAGGCCCAAUUACAAGAACUCACACUCCACAAGAAAAGCAAAAAGAAUAACAACAAAGAAAAUAAUGAAUGCAAAGAUUUUUUUUAUCAGCAUAAUAAAUGCAAAGAUAAUAAAACCUAAACUUUAACUGUAUCUCCAUCCACUGUUUCCAAAACCUGAACCCCACAUCCUUCAUGUAAAAGCUCAAGAAGAUUCAGGGCACGCUCAAGAAGACUCAUGGCAAAUCUCAAGAAGACUCAUGGCAAAGCACAAGAAGACUCAUGGCAAAGCACAAGAAGACUCAUGGCAAAGCUAAAGAAGUCUCAUGGAAAAGCUCAAGAAGUCUCAUGGCAAAGCUCAAGAAAACUCGUGGCAAAGCUCAAUAAGACUCAUGGAAAAGCUCAAGAAGACUCAUGGCAAAGGUCAAAGUUCACUACAACACAAGUAUAAGAUAAUCAAAUCAUAAAAGUCAAAGGCCCAAUUACAAGAACUCACACUCCACAAGAAAAGCAAAAAGAAUAACAGCAAAGAAAAUAAUGAAUGCUAAGAUUUUUUUUAUCAGCAUAAUAAAUGCAAAGAUAAUAAAACCUAAACUUUAACUGUAUCUCCAUCCACUGUUUCCAAAACCUGAACCCCACAUCCUUCAUGUAAAAGCUCAAGAAGAUUCAGGGCAACGCUCAAGAAGACUUAUGGCAAAUCUCAAGAAGACUCAUGGCAAAGCUCAAGAAGUCUCAUGGAAAAGCUCAAGAAGUCUCAUGGCAAAGCUCAAGAAGACUCAUGGCAAAGCUAAAGAAGUCUCAUGGAAAAGCUCAAGAAGUCUCAUGGCAAAGCUCAAGAAGACUCAUGGCAAAGCUCAAAGUUCACUACAACACAAGUAUAAGAUAAUCAAAUCAUCAAAGUCAAAGGCCCAAUUACAAGAACUCCGACUCCACAAGAGUAGCAAAAAGAAUAACAGCAAAGAAAAUAAUGAAUGCAAAGAUUUUUUUUAUCAGCAUAAUAAAUGCAAAGAUAAUGAAACCUAAAGUUUAACUGUAUCUCCAUCAACUAUUUCCAAAACCUGACCCCUACAUCCUUCAUGGCAAAGCUCAAGAAGACUCAUGGCGAUUUGAGAAAACUAAUCUUAAAAAGAUGACAUGACAAAGUAAAGAAACAAUAAGAUAAAUUCACUAAUAAAAAAUAUCAAGGGAAGCCACAAAUCAAAACGAAGAGCACGAAGAAGAUUACAACAACACUUUGAAAUACUAUUGUAGAUAAACAACAGUUCAACCCAUAUGUUAGGUGAUCAAGUCCAAAAACAUUAAAUAAUAAAGACCAAAAUCAGCAAGGGAAUAAGAUUGAGAAAUAUAGUUAGCAAUAAUAUACAGUCCGCUUCCAUAUCCUAUCACAAAUACUGAGACCCCAACCCGAAAGAAGUAAAUAGAGCUCUCAUGUUGGAGCUUUCCUUUUGGAAUAGGUCACUCAUAGCCUUGAGAGAUAGUUUUUCAUUCUCAUAUUGGAAAUAUAACUAAAUAUUACUGUCAUUAUGGAGAACAUUCUCAUUUUGGAAGAUAGUUGGGAUCAUGAGAUCAAGGAUAAGCAUAAUUAAGAAUCGCCCUAGCUUAGACACACAGUGACUGACACGUGUAGCUUCCUACUAUUCAACCAAUAAGAGAGAAUAAAGCCAUUUCAAAUCAAGCACAUAAGAUAGUGAAUGGAAACAUAAUAAAACCUAAAGCUUCACAAGUCCAAUAAUCUACGGCAAUUGCCUCCACAAUCCAACAGACAUCCAUAGUAAGUCAGUGCAACAUGUAGAAAGUCACUGCAACAUGUAGAAGAAGAUAAUCAAAGUCGAAGACACAAACACAAAUGUCAAAGCCUCUCAUAGUCAUAUAGUGCCUGCCUACAAGAACCCCACUCCACAAGUUUAGCCAAAAGAAUAACCGCAAAGAUAAUAAAACCUAAAGUUUCAGUGGUCCGCCAUUCACUGUUUCUGAUACCUGCCCACAUAUAUAUUGCCUUCCAAUAAAAGCUGAACAAGAAUCAUGGUGAUUCGAGAAAACUAACCUCUUUUAAAGAGAUGACAUGACAUAGUAUCGAAAGGUUAAGGUAAAUUCAAAAUUUCAAAACCAAGGGAGGCCACAAAUUCAAAACCAAGGGAGCCGCUCAUAGGCUCGACACAGCACUGGAAGAUUACAAGAAACACUUCCAAAUAUUACAAUAGAGAAACCAAUUCACAGUUCAACCCAUAUGGUUGGUGACAAAGUCCAAAAUUACUCAAAUACCUUCAAAUGAUUCAUUGGUUGUGUUAGCUGUAAAGCCCAAGAAUUAAAGAAAAUCAUUUACACUCUUAAUAGAAGUUAUAGAAACUAGACAAGAUGAAUUCAUAAAUUCAAGAAAGAAAAGCCAAUAGAGAAAGUCCUACCAGGCGCUCUUAAUAGAAGCUAUAGAAACUAGAGAAGAUGAAUUCAUAAAUUCAAGAAUGAAAAGCGAAAGAGAAAGUCAUACCAGGCUCAAUGCUAUGCAACACC
RNAcentral lists this long non-coding RNA (5921 nucleotides) under Phaseolus vulgaris (common bean). RNAcentral describes it as "long non-coding RNA (PVUL_LNC004125)". Lineage: Eukaryota; Viridiplantae; Streptophyta; Magnoliopsida; Fabales; Fabaceae. The record is from RNAcentral.